Molecule: ribosomal RNA, 622 nt
Filed under: uncultured bacterium
Lineage: Bacteria
Description: bacterial SSU rRNA
Rfam family: Bacterial small subunit ribosomal RNA
Source: RNAcentral
CCUACGGGAGGCAGCAGUGGGGAAUUUUGGACAAUGGGCGCAAGCCUGAUCCAGCAAUGCCGCGUGCAGGAUGAAGGCCUUCGGGUUGUAAACUGCUUUUGUACGGAACGAAACGGUGAGCUCUAAUACAGUUUGCUAAUGACGGUACCGUAAGAAUAAGCACCGGCUAACUACGUGCCAGCAGCCGCGGUAAUACGUAGGGUGCGAGCGUUAAUCGGAAUUACUGGGCGUAAAGCGUGCGCAGGCGGUGAUGUAAGACAGAUGUGAAAUCCCCGGGCUCAACCUGGGACCUGCAUUUGUGACUGCAUCGCUAGAGUACGGUAGAGGGGGGAUGGAAUUCCGCGUGUAGCAGUGAAAUGCGUAGAUAUGCGGAGGAACACCGAUGGCGAAGGCAAUCCCCUGGACCUGUACUGACGCUCAUGCACGAAAGCGUGGGGAGCAAACAGGAUUAGAUACCCUGGUAGUCCACGCCCUAAACGAUGUCAACUGGUUGUUGGGUCUUCACUGACUCAGUAACGAAGCUAACGCGUGAAGUUGACGCCUGGGGAGUACGGCCGCAAGGUUGAAACGUCAAAGGAAUUGACGGCUGGAGACGNGCGACGGCGACGACGAGGGGAGGAGG